GACGAACGCUGGCGGCGUGCUUAACACAUACAAGUCGAACGGAAAGGCCCUGCUUUUGUGGGGUGCUCGAGUGGCGAACGGGUGAGUAACACGUGAGUAACCUGCCCUUGACUUUGGGAUAACUUCAGGAAACUGGGGCUAAUACCGGAUAGGAGCUCCUGCUGCAUGGUGGGGGUUGGAAAGUUUCGGCGGUUGGGGAUGGACUCGCGGCUUAUCAGCUUGUUGGUGGGGUAGUGGCUUACCAAGGCUUUGACGGGUAGCCGGCCUGAGAGGGUGACCGGCCACAUUGGGACUGAGAUACGGCCCAGACUCCUACGGGAGGCAGCAGUGGGGAAUAUUGCACAAUGGGCGGAAGCCUGAUGCAGCAACGCCGCGUGCGGGAUGACGGCCUUCGGGUUGUAACCCGCUUUCGCCUGUGACGAAGCGUGAGUGACGGUAAUGGGUAAAGAAGCACCGGCUAACUACGUG
RNAcentral lists this ribosomal RNA (468 nucleotides) under uncultured bacterium. RNAcentral describes it as "partial 16S ribosomal RNA". It matches the Rfam family "Bacterial small subunit ribosomal RNA", at positions 28 to 507 of the family's 1533-position model. The record is from RNAcentral.